This 250-nucleotide ribosomal RNA is filed under the name uncultured bacterium. Its description in RNAcentral is "partial 16S ribosomal RNA". It matches the Rfam family "Bacterial small subunit ribosomal RNA", at positions 524 to 773 of the family's 1533-position model. The record is from RNAcentral.
UACGGAGGGGGCAAGCGUUGUUCGGAAUUACUGGGCGUAAAGCGCGCGUAGGCGGUCGUGCAAGUCGGAUGUGAAAUCCCUCGGCUCAACCGAGGAACUGCGUCCGAUACUGCAUGGCUUGAGUCCGGUAGGGGAUGGCAGAAUUCCCGGUGUAGCGGUGGAAUGCGUAGAUAUCGGGAGGAAUACCGAUGGCGAAGGCGGCCAUCUGGGCCGGAACUGACGCUGAGGCGCGAGAGCUAGGGGAGCAAAC